UACGUAGGGUCCGAGCGUUGCCCGGAAUUAUUGGGCGUAAAGGGCUCGUAGGCGGUUCGUCACGUCGGGAGUGAAAACUCGGGGCUUAACCCCGAGCCUGCUUCCGAUACGGGCGAGCUAGAGUUCGGCAGGGGAGACCGUGAAUUCCUGGUGUAGCGGUGAAAUGCGCAGAUAUCAGGAGGAACACCGGUGGCGAAGGCGGGUCUCUGGGCCGAUACUGACGCUGAGGAGCGAAAGCGUGGGGAGCGAACAGG
Molecule: ribosomal RNA, 254 nt
Filed under: uncultured bacterium
Lineage: Bacteria
Description: partial 16S ribosomal RNA
Rfam family: Bacterial small subunit ribosomal RNA
Source: RNAcentral